UUUUCAUUCUGCACACUCUCUCACCGGUCAGAGAGACGAGAGAGUGUGUGUGAAAUGAGGAGA
RNAcentral lists this microRNA precursor (63 nucleotides) under Pristionchus pacificus. Its description in RNAcentral is "mir-8364 microRNA precursor family". It matches the Rfam family "mir-8364 microRNA precursor family". Lineage: Eukaryota; Metazoa; Nematoda; Chromadorea; Rhabditida; Neodiplogasteridae. The record is from Rfam by way of RNAcentral.